AACCCAUAAUGAGGGCACCGUCUCAAUAAGUCUUUAUACCUCUCCCAUGCAUCAUAUAGGGUCUCUAAGUCGAUCUGUACGAAAGAAGAGAUAUCAUUCCUCAACUU
Molecule: small nucleolar RNA, 107 nt
Filed under: Gossypium hirsutum (cotton)
Lineage: Eukaryota; Viridiplantae; Streptophyta; Magnoliopsida; Malvales; Malvaceae
Also listed under: 1 other name
Description: Plant small nucleolar RNA R71
Rfam family: Plant small nucleolar RNA R71
About the family: R71 is a member of the C/D box family of snoRNAs containing the C (UGAUGA) and D (CUGA) box motifs. Multiple nearly identical copies of this snoRNA have been identified in Arabidopsis, and it is thought to function as a 2'-O-ribose methylation guide for 18S ribosomal RNA.
Source: Rfam by way of RNAcentral